CGGAGUUACAGAGUAAGAGCCAGAGCAGAGGCCAGGCUGAGGCUGGGUGGGGUGAGGGCCAUCCUCCCGCUUUGGUGUGUCCAGGAAUUCUCAGCAGAACUAAGCCCUUGUGGAAAGAUACUAUGGCCUUGGUACUUACCGCCACAGGAACAGUGUGGCCCCUCCCACACCAUCAGCUACAUCCAAUCUAUAGUGUUCACAUGGCUUCAGAGGAGAUGCUAUCAUUGCCAACAAGAAAGGAUGGUUAUGUUUCAUGAGCUCCACGGACCACCACAGCGGAGCAGCCUGUGGCCUGAGACACUAAUAACUGAUGCAGGCUCUCCUUCACCAAAGCCAAGUGCUCUUCGGACUUUUAACAAUAGGAGCUGACUUCUGUGCCAACUCUUCCCGCAAAUGCUUUUCAUCAAUAAGCUUUUUUGCAAGUGUGUCUAAUAAUAAAGCCCAUGAUCUCUU
Molecule: long non-coding RNA, 453 nt
Organism: Myotis brandtii (Brandt's bat)
Lineage: Eukaryota; Metazoa; Chordata; Mammalia; Chiroptera; Vespertilionidae
Exons: 3
Source: RefSeq, a predicted model, not a curated record